Molecule: ribosomal RNA, 301 nt
Filed under: uncultured bacterium
Lineage: Bacteria
Description: partial 16S ribosomal RNA
Rfam family: Bacterial small subunit ribosomal RNA
Source: RNAcentral
CAGUAGCCGCGGGAAUACAGAGGGUGCGAGCGUUAAUCGGAUUUACUGGGCGUAAAGCGUGCGUAGGCGGCUUUUUAAGUCGGAUGUGAAAUCCCUGAGCUUAACUUAGGAAUUGCAUUCGAAACUGGGAAGCUAGAGUAUGGGAGAGGAUGGUAGAAUUCCAGGUGUAGCGGUGAAAUGCGUAGAGAUCUGGAGGAAUACCGAUGGCGAAGGCAGCCAUCUGGCCUAAUACUGACGCUGAGGUACGAAAGCAUGGGGAGCAAACAGGAUUAGAUACCCCCGUAGUCCCUGUCUCUUAUAC